CCUCAGAGACAAGGAAUCAAGGAUCCAGACAAGAAAGGGCCUGGGUGCACCGAUGCAGAUUCUCUACAGAGGUGAAUCUUCCUCACAAAAGACAGCUUUGCAGGACAACUUCUGUUUACUGGCUCUGUAACAGCCAUCUCAAAAUAUGUCAACUAAAUAUAUUUGCGUUAAAAUAUUUUGAUUUCCUUCACUAUGCUGAGUUCAAAGCUGCACCCUGCCAUGUAUUAGUCAUUUGUCCCUGAGCUGGUGAUGUACUCUUUUAAGGCUUCAGUUACCAUCCCCAUGACAUGAAGCCAGUGUUUGUCCCUAAGGUAAGGAUGGAAAAUCUGAGAAUGUGACUCUGUGUGGGCUUCAAGUAUACAUGCUUUAUCUCUUUCACACCCUUCUCCUCUUUCUUCCUGGG
This 403-nucleotide long non-coding RNA is filed under the name Homo sapiens (human). Its description in RNAcentral is "HSALNT0271502". Lineage: Eukaryota; Metazoa; Chordata; Mammalia; Primates; Hominidae. The record is from RNAcentral.